CGGCUCCGCCCCCUCCCCGCACACGUCUGGUCCCGCAGCGCGUGGGGCCGCGAGGCGCUGGGGCCCGAAGAGGAUCUAAACUUCUGUCGCUGCUUGGAAUAUCCUAGAAAGGGUCCGGGCCGCGGAGUGGACGCUGCGUCCCCUGGGAGAUCUCUCGUCUCGGCUCGUAGAGUGAAGAAUGGCGAGGAACUCACUCUGUGACCAGGUAAACUGAGUCACUAGAUGCCUGAGCGAAGAUGCGUCUGACUAGGGAAACAGGGCAGUUCCCACUGAACUGGAAAAGCCAGAGCAAGCGGAGGUGAGAAAGACGCCUGGAGCCCGGAAGGAACUAGUUCCAGAAGGCACAUUCUGGGCCCGUGGAAGCGGAAGGGUACCGGCUCUGGACCCCGGAAUCCACCAGCUUCAUUCGAUGCAGCUUUCAGAGGAUUCGCAUACCCUUUCCUCACCCACCUCACCGUGGAUCCUUCGCCCAUGCUUGUCACCACACCCCCGACUUGGAGAAGGCCCCAAACUCCGGAUUCACAUUUCCAACAGCCACUGACACCUUCACUUGUAUAUCUAAUAGACACCUUAAACUUUUAAAACAGUCCCUUCGACCUGAUCCUUCCGCAGUCACCUCCCCCAGGUAACAUAACUAAAUGGCCCCACUCUCUAUCCAGUUGGGAAAGUCGGAAAGAGUCAGUGUUCCCUAUCUUCUACCGUCACAUUCCAUCCAUCAGCAAAUCCUAUAAGUUGUUUCUAAAUAAUAUCUCCAAUUGAUCCACUUCCCUCAAUUUCCAAAAUCACAAACCUAGUCCAAACCCCCAUUAUCAGUCUCCUGGUCUAAUAUCUGGUCUCCUUGCUUCCAGUCUUCCCUGUUAGGACCCACCGUUUGUAAAACAGUGAUCGCAUUUUAAAAAUAAAAAAUAAAUUUUUUAAAAAUAAAAAGAAAUAAGAUCUCAUCACCGUUUUCUUUAAAACUCCUCCAUGGCUUCAGAAUAAAAUCCAAACGCCCUGGCAUAGUAUACAGGGCUUUACACAAUUGGGCCCCUGCCUGUGUUUCUCCCUUCAGCCCACGCUCUUCUGCUCCUCACUCACUGUUCUGCCACUCCAGCCUCCUUGCUUUUCCCCCAGCAGAACAAGUCUUUUCCCACUGCAGUCUUCAUGCCUGCUGCUUUCCUUCUCUUUCUGGAGUGUUCCCUCUCCCAGCACUCCACAUGUCUGGCUUACCUUUAAGUUUCAGCUCUUCACAGAGGCCUUCCCCAUCCAUCCAGCCUAAAGACCCCCUCCACAAGCACAUCACUUUGGUUUAUUUUCUUCACAGCACUGAAUGUGUGUAUUGUUUUCUGAUCCCUCUCUACAAUGGAAGCUCCAUAAAACUGUCUGUUUUGUUCAUACUGUAUCACUAAUACCUGGUACUACACGGGUGCUUAAUAUAUAUUUGUUGAAUAAAUGAAUGAAUGAUGAAUGAAUGAAUAAAUAAAAGGUUGGCAGCCU
Molecule: long non-coding RNA, 1476 nt
Organism: Pteropus alecto (black flying fox)
Lineage: Eukaryota; Metazoa; Chordata; Mammalia; Chiroptera; Pteropodidae
Exons: 3
Source: RefSeq, a predicted model, not a curated record